GGAGUUAGCCGGUGCUUCUUCUGUGAGUGAUGUCCUUCCUGCCGGCUAUUAACCCGCAGGCCUUCUUCCUCACUGAAAGUGCUUUACAACCCGAAGGCCUUCUUCACACACGCGGCAUGGCUGGAUCAGGGUUGCCCCCAUUGUCCAAUAUUCCCCACUGCUGCCUCCCGUAGGAGUCUGGGCCGUGUCUCAGUCCCAGUGUGGCUGAUCAUCCUCUCAGACCAGCUACGGAUCGUCGCCUUGGUGAGCCGUUACCUCACCAACCAGCUAAUCCGACAUAGGCUCAUCCGAUAGCGCGAGGCCCGAAGGUCCCCCGCUUUCCCCCGUAGGGCGUAUGCGGUAUUAGCCUGGGUUUCCCCAGGUUAUCCCCCACUACCGGGCAGAUUCCUAUGCAUUACUCACCCGUCCGCCGCUCGCCACCAGGGAGCAAGCUCCCCGUGCUGCCGCUCGACUUGCAUGUGUUAGGCCUGCCGCCAGCGUUCAAUCUGAGCCAGAGANAACAACUACGACUACGUAGAGGCGGCGCGACGACGGCG
RNAcentral lists this ribosomal RNA (536 nucleotides) under uncultured bacterium. RNAcentral's name for it is "partial 16S ribosomal RNA". The record is from RNAcentral.